Molecule: long non-coding RNA, 687 nt
Organism: Falco peregrinus (peregrine falcon)
Lineage: Eukaryota; Metazoa; Chordata; Aves; Falconiformes; Falconidae
Exons: 5
Source: RefSeq, a predicted model, not a curated record
GCAUGGGAAGCUGUCCCUGGGACUCUCUAAGCCAUCUCAGGUCCCAGUCCCCUGCUCAGAGUUUCCUUCCAGCCCGCAGUUACCAACCGCUCCUCGUGCGAGGCUCUUGUCACUGCAAGAAUGACAUGGUGUCAGGGUGUCAGUCCGUGACUCGCCUCGGCAGUCUGAGGGGUCACUAGCUCAGCUGUGCCUGGAGCACAGACCUGCCUGGGAGGACACCUUCUUCCCCGGGAGCAGUCCCAGUGCCGCACGCUGGAAGUCCUGGGAGCAGGCUGGUGCAGCAAAGGGUUGCUGAAUGAUGAACAACUGGAAACAUGAAUGCUGACAUGCAACUGUCGUGUUCCAAAGCUUCAGCCAAAAAGGAGAACCUGUCCCAGACUUGAGUGAUUUCACGUCUCCUGUGCUCCAGCUAACCGUGCAGCAGUAAAGGGAGGGAAACCAGCCAGAUGGAAAGCAAAAUGACAGAGCACACGAUGGACCUACAAAUCAAAGCACAUCCCAAUCAUAAGGAGACUGCAGAGGCUGAUGCUGUUGCUAACUCUGAAGGAUCACACACGAUACAUUUGUGCUGAUGGGACAUUUCUUGCCAUGCUGUUUACAGCCCCAGAGCGGUGGGGAAUGGAGUGACAUCCUGCUGGCACCGCUCACACGUGGUGUUCCCCAGGGCUCAGCGCCGGGGCCAGUCCU